GAAUAAUCCGCGAUAGAUCUUAGUUCCUGGAAUGGUUUAUGGUCGAAAUGAUUCGUCGCCAUAGGAUGGGACUGCGGCCUAUCAGCUUGUUGGUGAGGUAAUGGCUCACCAAGGCUAUUACAGGUACGGGCUCUGAGAGGAGAAGCCCGGAGAUGGGUACUGAGACACGGACCCAGGCCCUAUGGGGCGCAGCAGGCGAGAAACCUUUGCAAUGUGCGCAAGCACGACAAGGUUAAUCCGAGUGUUUCCUGCUAAAGGAAUCUUUUGUUAGUUCUAAAACCACUGAUGAAUAAGAGGUGGGCAAGUUCUGGUGUCAGCCGCCGCGGUAAAACCAGCACCUCAAGUGGUCAGGAGGAUUAUUGGGCCUAAAGCAUCCGUAGCCGGUUCUGUAAGUUUUCGGUUAAAUCCACUAGCUCAACUAAUGGGCUGCCGAAAAUACUGCAGAACUAGGGAGUGGGAGAGGUAGACGGUACUCGGUAGGAAGGGGUAAAAUCCUUUUGAUCUAUUGAUGACCACCUGUGGGCGAAAGGCGGUCUACCAGAAACACGUUUCGACCGGUUAAGGGAUGAAAAGCUGGGGGGAGCAAACCCGGAAUAAGAUACCCCGGGGUAAGUCCCCAGCUUGUAAAACGAAUGCAGAACUCCGGUUGAUGGCAAUUGGGCUUUGUUGGCCAGUUGCAAGUGCCCGCAAGGGAAAACCCGUUUAAAGUUUUGGCCCGCCCGGGGGAAAGGUAACGUUACCCCCACGUAUUGAAAAACUUAAAAAGGGAAUUUGGGCCGGGGGGGAAGCCAC
Molecule: ribosomal RNA, 792 nt
Filed under: uncultured archaeon
Lineage: Archaea
Description: bacterial SSU rRNA
Rfam family: Archaeal small subunit ribosomal RNA (bases 1-685)
Source: RNAcentral